This 741-nucleotide unclassified non-coding RNA is filed under the name Hevea brasiliensis (rubber tree). Lineage: Eukaryota; Viridiplantae; Streptophyta; Magnoliopsida; Malpighiales; Euphorbiaceae. The record is from RNAcentral.
AGAGAGAGAGAGAGAGAGAUUUACGAGUUACAAACAACGAGGCCCAAAUUUGCUUUCACAAAACCCCGGCAAAGUAGCAAUAGCAGUGCCCAAUGGAUUAUAGGCAAAAGUCAGGCCCAUAAAGCAUCUACAAACGGACCUCUUAUUAUCUCCCGGGUUCUGCCAUCGCAUCACAGCAUGGCUAACCCGGAAGUGGGUCUGGUAAACCAUAGAUGAUGUGGAGCAAGCUGAGAGAAGCCCUAUCACAGGGGUGCACCCCCCCCGUCUGCCACAACUAUGGCAGCCCAUGAGAGCAACAUCAGCAGUCCUAUCUUCAUUCUCUGGAACUUAAUUCCGGUGACCUUCUACUAUAUUGGUUCAACGAUUGUACAGUUGAAUCAUGGAAAUAGUUGGUUGGGAUGCAACGACGAACUUGUGCUUCUUCAGGCAGGUACAAUGUUGCCCCGCUAUUUGCAUAUGAUGUAGCAGGUCUAUGGUGUCGUGGUGUAGCUGGAGUCGCGACGCGGAGAGGAAGAAAGUUGCAGCUCCUUUUUGUCGGCAGAUGAGUGCUUUUAGGGUUUUAUUAUUUUUUUGUCUUAAAAAAUAAAAUAAAAAAGGUUACUACUGCGUUGAAGGAGUUGAGCCUCUCGUCUGCCUGGCGCCUCACCUAUUGCCUCUCGGAAUGUCAAGAGAGGCGUCCCGAUCAAGGCGACAGAGGGGCGUCUCGCCUCGCCUAGUCACCUCUCACGCCUUUGAUAACAC